RNAcentral lists this ribosomal RNA (497 nucleotides) under uncultured bacterium. RNAcentral's name for it is "partial 16S ribosomal RNA". It matches the Rfam family "Bacterial small subunit ribosomal RNA", at positions 28 to 507 of the family's 1533-position model. The record is from RNAcentral.
GAUGAACGCUGGCGGCGUGCCUAAUACAUGCAAGUCGAGCGAACAGACGAGGAGCUUGCUCCUCUGACGUUAGCGGCGGACGGGUGAGUAACACGUGGAUAACCUACCUAUAAGACUGGGAUAACUUCGGGAAACCGGAGCCAAUACCGGAUAAUAUAUUGAACCGCAUGGUUCAAUAGUGAAAGACGGUUUUGCUGUCACUUAUAGAUGGAUCCGCGCCGCAUUAGCUAGUUGGUAAGGUAACGGCUUACCAAGGCAACGAUGCGUAGCCGACCCGAGAGGAUGAGCAGCCACACUGUGACGGUGACACGGCGCAGACAGCUACGGGAGGCAGCAGUGGGGGAGUUGGGACAAAGGGCGCAAGCCUGAUACAGCCAUGCCGCGUGAAGGAUGAAGGUCUUAGGGUGGUAAACUGCUUGUGUACGGAACGAAAAGACGGCGUUGAAUACAGGAGGGGCAUGACGGGACCUGAAGAAGAAGCACCGGCUAACUACGGG